Molecule: long non-coding RNA, 270 nt
Filed under: Ananas comosus (pineapple)
Lineage: Eukaryota; Viridiplantae; Streptophyta; Magnoliopsida; Poales; Bromeliaceae
Description: long non-coding RNA (ACOM_LNC022796)
Source: RNAcentral
CUGGCUAAACUUUCAAGCUCUUGUUCAAAUUAGGCUCAAGAAUAACGGAUAAGCUAAAUCCUUUCAAUAAUACAUCAUUUUAUAUUUUGAAUUUGAAUAUGAUUCAUUAGUAAAGGAAAUUUAAUUUAGGAAAAGCAAUUAUACAUAAAAUAUUGAAGGAUAAGAAUCGAGAAAGAUGGAAUAUUCUGCAUUUACAAGGAUGGUAUGUUAUGAGAAUGAGAAUUUACGAAAAUACCCUUAGUGCAACUCCAUGUAAUGAGGAAGUUUGUG